UUCGAAGGGCCACCACCUCUAGAGAACUCACCAUGGCCUGGGCUUUGUUUUUGCUAGCCCUUCUCAGUUACUGCUCAGGUGUCACCUCACAGCCAACGUUGACUCAGCCUCCCUCCAUGUCUGGGUCGCUGGGACAAACAGCUAAACUAUCCUGCACCGUCAGCAGUAACCUGAACCGCAUUUUCUGGCAUCAACAGAAACCUGGACAGGCCCCUCGCUAUGUGCACUAUGCUGGUGGCAGCAGGGGAUCAGGGAUCCCAGAUCGCUUCACUGCUUCUGUCUCUGGAAACACAGGCUAUUUAACCAUCACCGGCACUCAGGCUGAAGAUGAGGCUGUUUACUACUGUAACAUGUGGUAUAGCAGUGGGAAGUCGUUGCACAGUGGUGUCACUUCGCAGCCUGUCCUGACCCAGGCUGCCUCCCAGUCUGCAGCUCUGAGAAACAGUGUGAGACUCUCCUGCAGUCUGAGCAGCGGGUAUGAAAGCUAUGUUGUUGCCUGGUAUCGGCAGAGAGAGGACCAGGCACCCCAGCUUGUGCUGUAUCCAAAUAACAACAGACCCAGUGGGAUCCCAGACCGAAUCUCUGGCUCCAAAUCUGGCAGGGAGCGCUAUUUAACCAUCACCGGUCUCCAGGCAAAGGAUGAGGCCACGUAUUAUUGUGGUGCAGAUCAUGGCAGUGGUGGUAACUUCAUCUCGCCCACAGUGAUACAAUCAUAA
This is a non-coding RNA of Elgaria multicarinata webbii, 716 nucleotides long. NCBI's taxonomy places the organism in Eukaryota, Metazoa, Chordata, Lepidosauria, Squamata, Anguidae. The record is from the annotation of a RefSeq genome assembly.